GAAUGCUGACAUAAGUAACGAUAAAGCGGGUGAAAAGCCCGCUCGCCGGAAGACCAAGGGUUCCUGUCCAACGUUAAUCGGGGCAGGGUGAGUCGACCCCUAAGGCGAGGCCGAAAGGCGUAGUCGAUGGGAAACAGGUUAAUAUUCCUGUACUUGGUGUUACUGCGAAGGGGGGACGGAGAAGGCUAUGUUAGCCGGGCGACGGUUGUCCCGGUUUAAGCAUGUAGGCUGGUUAUCCAGGCAAAUCCGGAUAAUCAAGGCUGAGGUGUGAUGACGAGGCACUACGGUGCUGAAGUAACAAAUGCCCUGCUUCCAGGAAAAGCCUCUAAGCAUCAGGUAACAUCAAAUCGUACCCCAAACCGACACAGGUGGUCAGGUAGAGAAUACCAAGGCGCUUGAGAGAACUCGGGUGAAGGAACUAGGCAAAAUGGUGCCGUAACUUCGGGAGAAGG
This 452-nucleotide ribosomal RNA is filed under the name Klebsiella pneumoniae. RNAcentral describes it as "partial 23S ribosomal RNA". It matches the Rfam family "Bacterial large subunit ribosomal RNA", at positions 1292 to 1746 of the family's 2925-position model. Lineage: Bacteria; Pseudomonadati; Pseudomonadota; Gammaproteobacteria; Enterobacterales; Enterobacteriaceae. RNAcentral also lists the same sequence under 4 other names. The record is from RNAcentral.